GAUGAACGCUAGCGGCAGGCUUAACACAUGCAAGUCGAGGGGUAGGAGAAGCUUGCUUUUCUGAGACCGGCGCACGGGUGCGUAACGCGUAUGCAAUCUACCUUUCACAGAGGGAUAGCCCAGAGAAAUUUGGAUUAAUACCUCAUAGUAUAAUUGAAUGGCAUCAUUUAAUUAUUAAAGAUUUAUCGGUGAAAGAUGAGCAUGCGUCCCAUUAGCUAGUUGGUAUGGUAACGGCAUACCAAGGCAACGAUGGGUAGGGGUCCUGAGAGGGAGAUCCCCCACACUGGUACUGAGACACGGACCAGACUCCUACGGGAGGCAGCAGUGAGGAAUAUUGGACAAUGGGCGCAAGCCUGAUCCAGCCAUGCCGCGUGCAGGAUGACGGUCCUAUGGAUUGUAAACUGCUUUUAUACAGGAAGAAACCCCUCUACGUGUAGAGACUUGACGGUACUGUAAGAAUAAGGAUCGGCUAACUCCGUGCCAGCAGCCGCGGUAAUACGGAGGAUCCAAGCGUUAUCCGGAAUCAUUGGGUUUAAAGGGUCCGUAGGCGGUCAGGUAAGUCAGUGGUGAAAGCCCAUCGCUCAACGGUGGAACGGCCAUUGAUACUGUCUGACUUGAAUUAUUAGGAAGUAACUAGAAUAUGUAGUGUAGCGGUGAAAUGCUUAGAGAUUACAUGGAAUACCAAUUGCGAAGGCAGGUUACUACUAAUUGAUUGACGCUGAUGGACGAAAGCGUGGGUAGCGAACAGGAUUAGAUACCCUGGUAGUCCACGCCGUAAACGAUGGAUACUAGCUGUUGGGAGCAAUCUCAGUGGCUAAGCGAAAGUGGUAAGUAUCCCACCUGGGGAGUACGAACGCAAGUUUGAAACUCAAAGGAAUUGACGGGGGCCCGCACAAGCGGUGGAGCAUGUGGUUUAAUUCGAUGAUACGCGAGGAACCUUACCAAGGCUUAAAUGUAGAUUGACCGGUUGGAAACAGACU
Molecule: ribosomal RNA, 980 nt
Filed under: uncultured bacterium
Lineage: Bacteria
Description: bacterial SSU rRNA
Rfam family: Bacterial small subunit ribosomal RNA
Source: RNAcentral